Molecule: transfer RNA, 77 nt
Filed under: Ascocoryne sarcoides NRRL 50072
Lineage: Eukaryota; Fungi; Ascomycota; Leotiomycetes; Helotiales; Gelatinodiscaceae
Description: tRNA-Trp (CCA) (tRNA-Trp-CCA-4-1)
Rfam family: tRNA
About the family: Transfer RNA (tRNA) molecules are approximately 80 nucleotides in length. Their secondary structure includes four short double-helical elements and three loops (D, anti-codon, and T loops).
Source: RNAcentral
UCCGAAUUAGUGUAGGGGUUGUAAGUUCUUCCGUCUCCAACGCCGGAUAGCCCCGGGUUCGAUUCCCGGAUUCGGAA